AGAAAUUUGGUCGGAAAUCUGAAAAGUGCAACGCAGCCCUAAAACUGAGUAAUAAAUGCUUCAAAACAUCCUUUGGACCAUAUGGGCAAGUGGAUAAAAUACUGAACAUUGGUCUUGAGUUAGCGCCUCACAAACGGGUGAAUGGCGCUGAAUAAGAAGGAAUGAGUCUUUUGAUUGUGAAAUCCAUUAUCAGCAUGAAAUCCUCGACGAGUUUAACAGACUGUCUUUUAAUCCGAUGUAUUAUUCUCCUAUGGUUUCGAACUUAUGAGACACAUAUAUUAUGUUCUACUUCUAAUGAACAUAGGCUCCAUUCUUAUAAAUGCCCAAAGUAAAUUAUCAUAACUGGAAUAUUCUAUCACAAUAUCUCAAAAUAAGUUAGAAAUAUUUGGAGGCUUAAAGCAGCAUCAUCAACUGACACUUCCACUUACCAAUAUGGAAGAUGCUAUAAAGAAGAACAUGGGAAAAAAAAUUAAAAUCUGUACAAAGAAUGGAGAAAAACAUGCAGAUGGCUACUAAGCUGAAAGGAAAUAGAUUAUGGCACUUAAUAUAUAUAUAUAAAUUUUUAUCAGAUUGCUUUAUAUUAUAUAAUAAAGAUUUUUUUUAUAACUAAAA
Centruroides sculpturatus (bark scorpion) is the source of this 612-nucleotide long non-coding RNA. RefSeq lists it as uncharacterized. The transcript is spliced from 3 exons. NCBI's taxonomy places the organism in Eukaryota, Metazoa, Arthropoda, Arachnida, Scorpiones, Buthidae. The record is from RefSeq and is a predicted model, not a curated record.